Pelobates cultripes (western spadefoot toad) is the source of this 814-nucleotide non-coding RNA. The record is from the annotation of a GenBank genome assembly. NCBI's taxonomy places the organism in Eukaryota, Metazoa, Chordata, Amphibia, Anura, Pelobatidae.
CUUAAAUCCCCUCAUCUGUCGGUUUCAACCCUUCAAUAUUGGUCACUAUGGCUCCCUACUACUGCUAGAGUUAUGCAGUCCCUACUUUUCCUUAUGUAUAACUCAAAAAAUAAGCUUGAUUUUUAAUAAAGAAACAAAAUGGAACUUUUGGCAAUUUUUUCAAGAUGGAGCUUUUGUCAAUCUUGUCAUGGGCUGUACUGACCUCCUUCCAGUUUGGCAUCACCACUCUGUAUUGACUCUUGUGAGAUUAGAGACUUCCGUUGGGUCAUUUCAUGUGCAUUCCCAAUUACUGGUAGAACAUGGAAUUCCCAGCAUGUCUUAGGAACAUGAAGGAAGAUGGUGGCUCAAAUAAAACAUUGGGAUAGGUUGAGUUGCAGCUGCCAGGCCUGAAUGGCGGACACGGAACAGAUGACAGAACCGAAAUUUAAUAUUCUAAAAAGUGGAUUUUCUGAUACAGAAUAUUUGAAGAAAUUGUUAGCAGCACAGACCUACAGCAGAGCAACAGUAAAUAUUUAUAUGUAACAAAUGAUGUGGCUUAGUUAUACCUAGCUUGUGUUAUAAAUAUGAACUUCACAGUAAGUAACAUCUAAGCGGUAUCCAGUUCAAAUCUUUCAUUUUAAACCAAAGCAUUUUUUUUGUUCACUGUGCAUCUUACUCCUUUGAUUUCCAAAAUGUUAAAAACAUUUUGUCAUGGAAUAGAUCAUAGUCAACGCUUCUAAAUUAGGCCUUGAGUUAAGUAACAAAAAUAAUUAAACGCAUGCUUUCACUUAAACAUAUUGGGAAAUUAAUGUCAUUACUUUGUUUUACCAAAAAU